This 73-nucleotide transfer RNA is filed under the name Deltaproteobacteria bacterium. RNAcentral's name for it is "tRNA-Glu". The record is from RNAcentral. Lineage: Bacteria; Pseudomonadati; Myxococcota; Myxococcia. RNAcentral also lists the same sequence under 1 other name.
GUAAAUGAGGGUAAAUAAUGUUUUAUGGCCUCUCACGCCAGAGACACGGGUUCGAUUCCCGUUGGGACUACCA